RNAcentral lists this ribosomal RNA (1161 nucleotides) under uncultured Flavobacteriaceae bacterium. RNAcentral describes it as "bacterial SSU rRNA". It matches the Rfam family "Bacterial small subunit ribosomal RNA", at positions 363 to 1533 of the family's 1533-position model. Lineage: Bacteria; Pseudomonadati; Bacteroidota; Flavobacteriia; Flavobacteriales; Flavobacteriaceae. The record is from RNAcentral.
AUUGGACAAUGGAGGCAACUCUGAUCCAGCCAUGCCGCGUGCAGGAAGACUGCCCUAUGGGUUGUAAACUGCUUUUAUAUAGGAAGAAACCUUGGUACGUGUACCAAGCUGACGGUACUAUAAGAAUAAGGAUCGGCUAACUCCGUGCCAGCAGCCGCGGUAAUACGGAGGAUCCAAGCGUUAUCCGGAAUCAUUGGGUUUAAAGGGUCCGUAGGUGGAUAAUUAAGUCAGAGGUGAAAUCUUGCAGCUCAACUGUAAAAUUGCCUUUGAUACUGGUUAUCUUGAGUUAUUAUGAAGUAGUUAGAAUAUGUAGUGUAGCGGUGAAAUGCAUAGAUAUUACAUAGAAUACCAAUUGCGAAGGCAGAUUACUAAUAAUCAACUGACACUGAUGGACGAAAGCGUGGGUAGCGAACAGGAUUAGAUACCCUGGUAGUCCACGCCGUAAACGAUGGUUACUAGCUGUUUGGACCUUGUGUCUGAGUGGCUAAGCGAAAGUGAUAAGUAACCCACCUGGGGAGUACGUUCGCAAGAAUGAAACUCAAAGGAAUUGACGGGGGCCCGCACAAGCGGUGGAGCAUGUGGUUUAAUUCGAUGAUACGCGAGGAACCUUACCAGGGCUUAAAUGUAAGUUGCAUUAGUUAGAGAUAGCUAUUUCUUCGGACCACUUACAAGGUGCUGCAUGGUUGUCGUCAGCUCGUGCCGUGAGGUGUCAGGUUAAGUCCUAUAACGAGCGCAACCCCUGUUGUUAGUUGCCAGCGAGUCAUGUCGGGAACUCUAACAAGACUGCCAGUGCAAACUGUGAGGAAGGUGGGGAUGACGUCAAAUCAUCACGGCCCUUACGUCCUGGGCUACACACGUGCUACAAUGGUCGGUACAGAGAGCAGCCACUACGCGAGUAGGAGCGAAUCUUAAAAGCCGAUCACAGUUCGGAUCGGAGUCUGCAACUCGACUCCGUGAAGCUGGAAUCGCUAGUAAUCGGAUAUCAGCCAUGAUCCGGUGAAUACGUUCCCGGGCCUUGUACACACCGCCCGUCAAGCCAUGGAAGUUGGGAGUGCCUGAAGUCCGUUACCGUAAGGAGCGGCCUAGGGUAAAAUCGAUAACUAGGGCUAAGUCGUAACAAGGUAGCCGUACCGGAAGGUGCGGCUGGAACACCUCCUUUCU